RNAcentral lists this non-coding RNA (825 nucleotides) under Pongo abelii (Sumatran orangutan). Lineage: Eukaryota; Metazoa; Chordata; Mammalia; Primates; Hominidae. The record is from RNAcentral.
UAUAGAGGUGGUAUAAAUCUGGAGGUUCUGCAAAGUCUUCCCAGAGGUGAAGUAUUCUGGCUAAUCUGGAACACUGGCUGGAUAAUGGAGAAGAGCAAUCUAGGCACUGUUGCCACUGGGCAGAAUGACAUGGCGGCCAUGGCCUCUUCAUAAUCUCUUGUUGUGAUCUAUUACUGGGACAGAAGGAAGGUAAAAUUCUGAGGUUUUGGAGGAAGAAGUUGGCCCAUAGAAGAAUCAUCCAGUUAGAACCCUAAGAUCAUUAUUUGGGGCAUCUAAUUAUUAAUGUGGGAUGCUUUAUAAAGUGUGUAUGGGGGUCUUAAAAGAUAAAGCCUGUGCCUUUCUCAGUGAAUUCUUAAAUUUUCCCUUCCUUCUGCAUUUUGAAUUUGCACCAAGAAAAUGGAACAACAUUGUAUGUUUCCGGCGAAGAUAAAAACAUCUGUUGAAUAUCUUGAGUCUAGAAAAUAACAUUGAGAAAAAUAGUGGUUGAGGACCAAUUCCUCAUCCUGAAGUUUACAAUAUAAUGAAAAAAAAAGGAAAUGUACAAUUUUAAUAAAAAUGCAUGCAUUGAAAUGUAUGGUACAGCAAGAGGCUUUAGAAAUUCCUGUUUCGGAGAUUUAUAUAAGGCUACCACAUCUUUCUGGAGAAUGAUGAAAUAAUGAGGCAGAAAUAAUCUGAAGAUAAUACCUGAGAAUCAAAAGGGAUAAAGUAAUCACAGUGCAUUAUUCCACUAGUUCUAAAUGUUUUCAAAUAAAAAAAAAGAUUAAAGACAGGCUUGAGAGGCAUACAAAUGAUUUCAACAAAGCCAUAAAUUUGAAAAUAUGCUAA